AGUGAACGCUGGCGGUAGGCCUAACACAUGCAAGUCGAACGGCAGCACAGUAAGAGCUUGCUCUUACGGGUGGCGAGUGGCGGACGGGUGAGGAAUACAUCGGAAUCUACUUUUUCGUGGGGGAUAACGUUGGGAAACUUACGCUAAUACCGCAUACGACCUACGGGUGAAAGCAGGGGAUCUUCGGACCUUGCGCGAUUGAAUGAGCCGAUGUCGGAUUAGCUAGUUGGCGGGGUAAAGGCCCACCAAGGCGACGAUCCGUAGCUGGUCUGAGAGGAUGGAAAGCCAAAAUGGAGAAGAGACACGGUCGAGACACCGACGGGGGGCAGCAGGGGGGAAUAGAGGACAAGGGGCGAAAGCAUGACCCACCCGUAGGGGGGGGGAGAGGAAGGGCUGCGGGGUGUAAAGCUUUAGUGUAGGGAAAGAAAGGAAGAAGACUCAUACCCAGCGGUUCUGAAGGUACAAAAAGAGUAAGCAACGGCUCACGGCGAG
This 492-nucleotide ribosomal RNA is filed under the name uncultured bacterium. Its description in RNAcentral is "partial 16S ribosomal RNA". It matches the Rfam family "Bacterial small subunit ribosomal RNA", at positions 30 to 507 of the family's 1533-position model. The record is from RNAcentral.